CCAGUCUCAGGUACACUGGGGAUGCCAUGCCGGGGGUGGGUGGGACUGGGCGGGCGUUCAGCCUGCAGGCCACGGGGGUCGGUGGCAGCAGAGUCCUUGGACUUUGUGCCGGCCACCUCACUCUGGACUGGCCUCUCCACCCACUACCCGGUGGCCUUCAGAUGGUCCUUUUUUUGCAAAACCAGGCAGAGGGUUGUGUGGCGAGCCGCCCGGAAUCUUUCUGCUGGGUAGUGUGUGUCUGCACGUGCCCCAGGCUGGCACCCCUCCGUCACCUCCCGGUCACUGCAGGCUGCCUCUGAGGAGGGCAGUACCUGCCCACAAAGGCCCACGGAGCCAUGGCUUCUUCCCAGUGGUGAUCCCUGAUGGGCUGGAAGGUGACCGAACCGCUUGUCCUUUAUAAGCUGGGCUUGCUGCUUGCCGUUGAGGAAGAGCUUGUCAUGGGUGUCAGCGUUUAAAAGUGGAAUAGACGGGGUUUCACCGUGUUGGCCAGGAUGGUCUCCAUCUCUUGACGUCGUGAUCCACCCGCCUCGGCCUCCCAAAGUGCUGGGAUUACAGGCGUGAGCCACCGCACCCGGCCGAUAUUACAAAAUCUUUCCUGAGGCUGGAAGUCCAGAAGUCGGGGUGCUGGCAGGACGUGCUCUUCUGAAGCCUCCAGGGCAGGGCCAGCCGCAUGCCCGUCUCCUCGCUUGGGCACCUGCCAGCGGUCCCCGGCGGUCCCCGGCUCAUUGCUGCAUGGCUCCAACGUCCGCCUCUCCCACCAUGUGGCCUCCUCCUGGUGUCUCUGUGUCCAAAUCUCCCGCUCUGUCUAAGGAUAACAGUCACUGGUCAUGGGACCCAUCCUAAUCCAGGGUGACCUCGUAUUAACCUCAUCACAUCUGCAAAGACUAUUUCCAAGUCAAGCCACACUCCCAGCUGCUGGGGGCGGGACUUGAACAUAUUUUUUGUGGGGACACAAUUCCCCUCUCAGGUUUUAAGAUUUGUC
Molecule: long non-coding RNA, 982 nt
Filed under: Homo sapiens (human)
Lineage: Eukaryota; Metazoa; Chordata; Mammalia; Primates; Hominidae
Description: HSALNT0309846
Source: RNAcentral